This is a long non-coding RNA of Eurytemora carolleeae, 1388 nucleotides long. RefSeq lists it as uncharacterized. NCBI's taxonomy places the organism in Eukaryota, Metazoa, Arthropoda, Copepoda, Calanoida, Temoridae. The record is from RefSeq and is a predicted model, not a curated record. The transcript has 3 exons.
AUUAGUGAACCUAAACUAUUAGUAAACCUAAAUCAUUAGUAAACCUAAACUAUUAAUAAAUUUAGUAAACCUAAAGUAUUAGUAAACCUAUACUAUUAGUAAACCUGAACUAUCAGUAAACCUAAACUAUUAGAAAACCUAAACUAUUAGUAAACCUAAACUAUUAAUAAAUCUAGUCAACCUAAAGUAUUAGUAAACCUAAACUAUUAGUAAACCCGAACUAUAAGUAAACCUGAACUAUUAGUAAACCUAAACUAUUAGUAAACAUAAAUUAUUAGUAAACCUGAACUUUUACUAAGCCUAAAUAAAUAGGACAAAAGGACACAAGCAUGUUUACAAUUCUAAUUUUUUGUUUAUAAAUACAAAUAUCACAAAUAUUGUUUAUAAAUGUGUUUACAUAAGGGGGUUGUUUACAAAGAGUCAAAAGGGGUACUGUGUAGAACGAUACAAUACAUAAAAGAAAUAGUGUAUUCAUCUUACCAAUCCUAACACACCCUCAUUGUUGGUUUGUUUGGAAUUCAAUAAUUACGUCAGAACGGCUGAGCCAAAUGUGAAAAUCUUUACUGAGAACGGUUUUAGCAAGUUAGGAUAAAAAUGUUCUAUGACUUUUUAUGACAACAAAGAAAUCAUCAAACAAAAAAAUCCCCGAAAUGUUUCAAAAGCUAUUUAUUGUAAUUAUAAUGUAAUGUUUGAGAGGAUAGGUAAGUAGUGCUUAAACCCUGAGUAAACCUAUAAUGUAAUGUUUGAGAGGAUAGGUAAGUAAUGCUUAAACCCUGAGUAAACCUAUAAUGUAAUGUUUGAGAGGAUAGGUGCUUCUAGUAGUGCUUCAACCCUCAGUAAACCUAUAAUGUAAUGUUUGAGAGGAUAGGUUCUCUAAGUAGUGCUUAAACCCUGAGUAAACCUACAUUGUAAUGUUUGAGAGGAUUGGUUCUCUAAGUAGUGCUUAAACCCUGAGUAAACCUGAAACCGUAAAUCAACGAAAAAUCCGAGGAUUAGAGUAUGAUGGGAGGCGCGGAGGGGAUGAAACCAUCGUAAGAGGAUGUUUGUGAGGUUCAGAUUUCCCUCUCUUAGUUUGAAGUAGUCUAACCUCGAAAGAACAGUCUAUAGCCCGUGUCAGAGUUUAGACGAAAAGGGAGAAUUAUCAGGUAUCUCGGCGUUCUUAAGCUUGGGUAAACUUAUGAAUAAAAUCAAGACAUUAGUGCCCUGGCGUCGACCAGAAGAUGUUUUUGGUCCUUCCCCCUUCUCUCCCUCCCCCUCCUACCCGUCCUCCCCCUCCGACACACUCUUCUCAUCGAACUCCACCUUCUCCUCUGACCUCCUUGACUCGAACUAUUCUGGGAACUCGAGUUUUGACCUCAACUGGAGCGACCUCGACAAUUUUACUUUAA